This 396-nucleotide long non-coding RNA is filed under the name Papio anubis (olive baboon). Its description in RNAcentral is "lncRNA (ENSPANG00000042052.1)". The record is from RNAcentral. Lineage: Eukaryota; Metazoa; Chordata; Mammalia; Primates; Cercopithecidae.
GUGAGGUGGAAACCGUGGCUGGACUGAGCCGUCCUUAUGUGAGGUGCCACGUCUUUCACUCGGCGAUUUUUACACAACUAGAAAUGAUAGUUGCCAGGUAUUUAGAAUAGAUCAUACAAAUGUCUCAGAAAUUUUGUAAUGAGUGUUGACAUUUUAGUGGAGGAGAUACUUUCAGAUGUGUUUUCAUUUCCAUACUGAAAAACAAGCCCAGACUGGCUUCAUUAAUGGAGUUGCUUUUGGCAGUUCUUCGUGGCGUGUGUUCAAAUGAGCUGGGAUACUUCUUCGGGAUACACAGGAAUUCGUGGCGUGUUUUCAAAAGAGCUGGGAUACUUCGGGAUACACAGGAAUUCGUGGCGUGUCUUCAAAUGAGCUGGGAUACUUCUUCGGGAUACACAG